RNA transcript from Ochotona curzoniae (black-lipped pika), 1108 nucleotides. It is a transcript of the gene named succinate--CoA ligase [GDP-forming] subunit beta, mitochondrial-like, with no coding region annotated. The record is from RefSeq and is a predicted model, not a curated record. The transcript has a single exon. Lineage: Eukaryota; Metazoa; Chordata; Mammalia; Lagomorpha; Ochotonidae.
GCAGCCCCGGCUCCUGGGCCCCAGGCUCCAGGCAGUUCAGCUGACCGCCAAAAGAUGGCUCAAUCUGCAGGAGCAUCAGAGCAAGAAACUGAUGUCUGACAGUGGAGUGAUGGUGCAACGGUUCUCCGUCGCUAACACUACCAGUGAAACUCUUGAGGCUGCUAAAAGGCUCAAUUCCCAAGAAAUUGUUUUUAAAAGCCUAGAUCUUAGCUGGAGGAAGAGGAAAAGGUGCCAAAAGAAGGUGUGAAAGUUAACAAGGUGAUGGUUGCCGAAGCCUUGGACAUUUCCAGAGAAAUCUACAUGGCUAUUUUGAUGGACAGAUCAUGCAAUGGCCCAAUCUGGUGGGCAGUCCAUAGGGAGAUAUUGACAUUGAAGAGAUGGCAGCUUCGAAUCCAGAACUUACCUUUAAGAAACAAAUUGACAUUUUUGAAGGGAAAACCUCAGCUUUCUUGGAGCUUUGAAAAACCAGGCUGCAGAUCAAAUUAAGAAGCUGUAUAACCUCUUCCUGAAAAUUGAUGCAACUCAGGUUGAGGUGAAUCCCUUUGCUAAAACUCCAGAAGGACAAGUUGUCUGUUUUGAUGCCGAGAUAAAUUUUAACGACAAUGUAGAAUUCCAACAAAAGGACAUCUUUGCUAUGGAUGACAAAUCAGAGAAUGAGCCCAUUGAAAAUGAAGCUGCCAGAUAUGAGCUAAAAUACAUUGGACUGGACGGGAACAUUGCCUGCUUUGUCAAUGGUGCAGGGCUGGCCAUGGCAACGUGUGACAUCAUUUUCCUUAAUGGAGGGAAGCCAGCAAAUUUCUUGGACCUUACUGGUGGCAUCAAAGAAGCUCAAGUGUAUCAGGUGUUCAAGUUGCUGACCUCUGAACCUAAGGUUGAAGCCAUCCUUGUCAAUAUUUUCGGUGGCAUCGUCAACUGUGCCAUCAUUGCCAAUGGAAUCACCAAAGCUUGUCGGGAGUUGGAGCUCAAGGUGCCCAUACUGGUCUUUUUGGAAGAAACCAACGUGCAAAAGGCUCAGAAAAUCCUCAGCAACAGUGGACUGCCCAUCACGUCAGCUGUCGACCUAGAAGAUGCCUCCAAGAAGGCUGUGACCAGUGUGGCCAAGAAGUGA